This is a regulatory RNA element of 82 nucleotides. It matches the Rfam family "chrB-a RNA". The record is from Rfam.
CCCAUGGGGACAGCGCGAACGCCCCGUGAGGCCCCAAGCCAGAGGUUCGCAUGUUUGCCUUGACCGAGGAGACAUGCUCUUG